RNAcentral lists this ribosomal RNA (277 nucleotides) under uncultured prokaryote. Its description in RNAcentral is "partial 16S ribosomal RNA". It matches the Rfam family "Bacterial small subunit ribosomal RNA", at positions 524 to 800 of the family's 1533-position model. The record is from RNAcentral.
UACGGAGGAUCCGAGCGUUAUCCGGAUUUAUUGGGUUUAAAGGGUGCGCAGGCGGGGGAUUAAGUCGGAGGUGAAAUUUUGCAGCUCAACUGUAAAAGUGCCUUCGAAACUGGUUUCCUUGAGUGUAGAUGAAGUAGGCGGAAUUUGUGGUGUAGCGGUGAAAUGCAUAGAUAUCACGAGGAACUCCGAUUGCGCAGGCAGCUUACUAAACUACUACUGACGCUCAGGCACGAAGGCGUGGGGAUCAAACAGGAUUAGAUACCCCGGUAGUCCCUGA